This 341-nucleotide long non-coding RNA is filed under the name Ananas comosus (pineapple). RNAcentral's name for it is "long non-coding RNA (ACOM_LNC023330)". The record is from RNAcentral. Lineage: Eukaryota; Viridiplantae; Streptophyta; Magnoliopsida; Poales; Bromeliaceae.
CGAGCCCGCCUCUUUGGUCGGAUUCGGGCACGCCAACAGACUGCUGAACGGACAUGAUUUCCCCUGUAUCGCGGAUAGAGUCUCCCCUGUACGUCCAAGGCGUCACAAUCAUACAAUGCGCGAGGUUCCAACGAGGAACAACAUUCAAACAAGAUUGCAUAAGGAAGACAUCAAAAACAUAAAUACAACUAAGUUAUUACAAUCAUUUAACUCACAUUCUACAUUUUACAUCACAUUUUACAUUCUUUAAGUCUCUUUUUAUCUUCCAAAUACAAUCAAGUUUCCAACAUAAUUAUUACAAUAUUGAUCAUUUCAUUCCUAUACCCCUAAACUAAGCCGAC